AAAUGUGUGAAAUAAAUUUCCACAUCAAAUACUCCCAAACUUGAAUGUUUGCUUGUCCUCAAGCAAAAGAAAAACCAUAAAAACAAAGGACAAUAACCAUAGUCAGGCUCAACUCAUCCCACCCAAACUUGAAUGUUUGCUUGCCUUUUGACACGAAUACAAGCAUUUGUGAUGGAAGCACCCGGUUACUCAACAAGUCACACACUUAAAGUGCUUUUGCAUACUCAUAUUUCAUGUUGCCAUUUGACGUAAAAGUAAACAUUGGUGAUGAAUACCCCUAGUUACUAAGCAACUCAAAACAUUGGAGUAGAUAGAACUUUGUACACAUUUAUUUAUUCGACUGCUAAUCAUUAUCACUCUA
This 361-nucleotide long non-coding RNA is filed under the name Phoenix dactylifera (date palm). RNAcentral describes it as "long non-coding RNA (PDAC_LNC010347)". Lineage: Eukaryota; Viridiplantae; Streptophyta; Magnoliopsida; Arecales; Arecaceae. The record is from RNAcentral.